AUGCAUAUCAUAAGCGGAGGAAAAGAAACCAACAGGGAUUGCCUUAGUAACGGCGAGUGAAGCGGCAACAGCCCAGAUUUGAAAUCUGACUUUCGGGUCCGACUUGUAAUCUGCAGAUGAGUCUUCCGGCAGAGCGCCGUCCAAGUGCCCUGGAACGGGCCGCCGGAGAGGGUGAGAGCCCCGUACCGACGCGCGCCGCGCCUCUGUGAAGCUCAUUCGAAGAGUCGAGUAGUUUGGAAAUGCUGCUCUAAUUGUGGGGUAAAUCUCCCAUAAGGCUAAAUACCGGCCAGAGACCGAUAGCGCACAAGUAGCGUGAGCGAAAGAUGAAAAGAGCCUUGAACAAGGGCGUCAAAAAGCAUGUGAAAUUGUUGUGGGGGAAGCGUUCGAUGCCAGACGUGGCGGCGGUUGGUUACCCGGCGUUGUUAGCCGGCGCACUCUGCCGUCGCCAGGCCAGCAUCAGUUCGGAUCGGGGCUUACCGCCGGCGGGAACGUAGCUCCCCUAAGGGAGUGUUAUAGCCCGUCGGUACCGUCCCGGACCGGACUGAGGACCGCGUA
Molecule: ribosomal RNA, 555 nt
Filed under: Phaeoisaria sparsa
Lineage: Eukaryota; Fungi; Ascomycota; Sordariomycetes; Pleurotheciales; Pleurotheciaceae
Description: eukaryotic LSU rRNA
Rfam family: Eukaryotic large subunit ribosomal RNA
Source: RNAcentral